GAAAAAGCAUAAUGCAAGAACUGCUAACUCAUGCCUCCAUGUAUAAAAACAUGGCUUUUUCA
This 62-nucleotide transfer RNA is filed under the name Galictis vittata (Greater grison). RNAcentral describes it as "tRNA-Ser". The record is from RNAcentral. Lineage: Eukaryota; Metazoa; Chordata; Mammalia; Carnivora; Mustelidae.